This is a small nucleolar RNA of Tachyglossus aculeatus (Australian echidna), 138 nucleotides long. NCBI's taxonomy places the organism in Eukaryota, Metazoa, Chordata, Mammalia, Monotremata, Tachyglossidae. The record is from RefSeq and is a predicted model, not a curated record.
ACCCUCUCAGGGUCACAACUGGAGAGUUUCCAGUACUCUACCAGUCUUUAGCAUGGAAGGGAGAGUCAAGCAGAGACAUACCCAUUCUAUUCCUAGCUUAGCCAGUGGCUGGCGAGUGGAAGGCAACCUGCUACAAAU